UCAGCAGCCGCGGUWAUACGAAGGGGGCGAGCGUUAUUNGGAAUCANUGGGYGUAAAGCGUGYGUAGGSGGUCYUAAAAGUUAGGAGUGAAAGCCCAGGGCUUAACCCUGGAAUUGCUCUUAAAACUAUAGGACUAGAAUUCGGGAGAGGAUAGCGGAAUUGUCAGUGUAGCAGUGAAAUGCGUAGAUAUUGACAGGAACACCAGUGGCGUAAGCGGCUAUCUGGACCGACAUUGACGCUGAGGCACGAAAGCGUGGGGAUCAAACAGGAUUAGAUACCCUGGUAGUCCACGCCGUAAACGAUGUGUGCUUGUCGCCGGGAGGUUCUCCUUUCGGUGACGCAGCUAACGCGAUAAGCACACCGCCUGGGA
Molecule: ribosomal RNA, 370 nt
Filed under: uncultured delta proteobacterium
Lineage: Bacteria; Deltaproteobacteria
Description: bacterial SSU rRNA
Rfam family: Bacterial small subunit ribosomal RNA
Source: RNAcentral